UGUAAAGUGUAUUGUAAUGUAAAGUGUAUUGUAAUGUAAAGUGUAUUGUAAUCUAAAGUAUAUUGUAAUGUAAAGUCUAUUGUAAUGUAGUGUUUUGUUAUUUCAGGUGUCCUGGCCCAGGAGAACAUAGUGGGAGACCCUCAUGCUCAGGGAUCCUCCUACAUCGCUGCUUCCUAUGUAAAGUACCUGGAGAGUGCUGGAGCCAGGGUUGUCCCCAUAAGAAUAAACAGAAUCGAUGAAGAGUAUGAGAAGAUAUUUAACUCAAUAAACGGGCUGCUGCUACCAGGUGGGGGUGUAGAUCUGCAGACUUCCCAGUUCAGUCGUCUGUCAAAGAUUUUCUGUGAUCUGGCUAUCAAGACCAACUGAUUACUUCCCCAUAUGGGGCAUGUGCCAGGGCCUUCAGCAGAUGACAGUACUGACCAGCAACAAGAACCUUCUGACUCCGACAGAGACCAAGGCUGUGGCCCUGCCUUUCACAUUCACCCCAGCUUCCAUGAAAAGCCGCCUGUUCAAGGCCUUUCCCAGAGACCUGCUCCUGUCUCUGUCAGAAGACAACAUCACCUCCAAGUUCCACAGCUGGAGUCUAUCGCUACAGCGAAUCGCUAUCCGUUCUAUGCUGUCCAGUGGCACCCUGAGAAGAGUCCCUUUGAGUGGGUAGAUAAACCAGGCAUGGUCCACUCUGCUGCCUCCGUCAGAGCAUCCUUCUACACAGCACACUUCUUUGUCUCCGAGGGUGAGUUAUUUUAGUCCACUUUCCUUUAACCAGGCAAAUCAGUUAAGAACAAUUUCUUAUUUGCAACGGUGGCCUGGUGAGUGACUGUAGAUUAGUUAUUGGAUUGUACAACUCUGGCCUGGUGAGUGACUGUAGAUUAGUUAUUGGACUGUACAACGCUGGCCUGGUGAGUGACUGUAGAUUAGUUAUUGGACUGUACAACGCUGGCCUGGUGAGUGACUGUACAACUCUGGCCUGGUGAGUGACUGUAGAUGACAGUCCAGUAAUUGGAUUGUACAACUCUGGCCUGGUGAGUGACUGUAGAUGACAGUCCAGUAAUUGGAUUGUACAACUCUGGCCUGGUGAGUGACUAUAGAUGACAGUCCAGUAAUUGGAUUGUACAACUCUGGCCUGGUGAGUGACUAUAGAUGACAGUCCAGUAAUUGGAUUGUACAACUCUGGCCUGGUGAGUGACUAUAGAUGACAGUCCAGUUGUUGGAUUGUACAACUCUGGCCUGGUGAGUGACUGUAGAUUAGUUAUUGGAUUGUACAACUCUGGCCUGGUGAGUGACUGUAGAUUAGUUAUUGGAUUGUACAACUCUGGCCUGGUGAGUGACUGUAGAUUAGUUAUUGGACUGUACAACGCUGGCCUGGUGAGUGACUGUAGAUGACAGUCCAGUAAUUGGAUUGUACAACUCUGGUCUGGUGAGUGACUAUAGAUGACAGUCCAGUUGUUGGAUUGCACAACUCUGGCCUGGUGAGUGACUGUAGAUGACAGUCCAGUUGUUGGAUUGUACAACUCUGGCCUGGUGAGUGACUGUAGAUGACAGUCCAGUUGUUGGAUUGUACAACUCUGGCCUGGUGAGUGACUGUACAACUCUGGCCUGGUGAGUGACUGUACAACUCUGGCCUGGUGAGUGACUGUACAACUCUGGCCUGGUGAGUGACUGUACAACUCUGGCCUGGUGAGUGACUGUACAACUCUGGCCUGGUGAGUGACUGUACAAACCUGGCCUGGUGAGUGACUGUAAAUGACAGUCCAGUUGUUGGAUUGUACAACUCUGGCCUGGUGAGUGACUGUACAACUCUGGUCUGGUGAGUGACUGUAGAUGACAGUCCAGUUGUUGGAUUGUACAACUCUGGCCUGGUGAGUGACUAUAGAUGACAGUCCAGUAAUUGGAUUGUACAACUCUGGCCUGGUGAGUGACUGCAGAUGACAGUUCAGUUAUUGGACUGAUGUGAUUUCAAGUCUUGAGAACUUUGUGUGGUUUAAAAAACAAAUAAAACGUUUAUUUAAAUGUACUACCAUUGGAUGUUAUGAUGCAGUGUUUUAUUAAUGGGAAAAUAUGUAAAUUCUCCCAUCUUCCAUGUAAAAACCAUUACAACAACAUGGCUGGAACAUCUGAAAAUAUAACGAAACUGCCUGCACAAAUCUGUAUGAAAUCAGGGUUUUUUUCUGCACAGAAAAGUUCUGGCCUAAAGGUUUUUUCAGUCCGCCUAUCUCCAAUAAUUCCCGGAAUGGUAAAACGUUUUUGAGUGUAAACUUAAAACAACUUAAACCAGAUCUAAAGUUUAUUGGAAAGAUAGCAGACUUAUAUAUUUAUCUAUAAGAACUUAACAAUCACCACAAUAACAGUCAGGGAGAAUUUUAAAUUCCCAAAUUGAUGCAUUCAGGAGUAUUUUUGUCAUGGCAUGGGGCCCCCAUUGAUUUUGUUAUCGUUUUUUGAGUCACUCACAUAGCACAAGCCAUGUCAAAUUGUUUUUAUAACUGAAACAUUUUAUCUCCGUUACAUGGCAAAAUGUGAAGAAUUUGCUUUAUAACAGUCACACCCACCACCUAAGCCCCAUUUGGAUCCAGAAAAAACUCUGGAAAUACAUUGAUAGCACAUUUUAGUGCUACCACAAUAGUGUUUUUUAUUGUUUACUCACCCAUGUGUCAAACUAAUGCUGCUAUUUCUAUUGACUUGGCCAAAGCUUUUGAUACGGUAGACCAUUCUAUUCUUGUGGGCCAACUAAGGAGUAUUGUUGUCUCUGAGGGGUCUUUGGCCUGGUUUGCUAACUACCUCUCUCAAAGAGUGCAGUGUAAAAAGUCAUAGAAUCUGCUGUCUCAGCCACUGCCUGGCACCAA
Molecule: non-coding RNA, 2840 nt
Organism: Oncorhynchus mykiss (rainbow trout)
Lineage: Eukaryota; Metazoa; Chordata; Actinopteri; Salmoniformes; Salmonidae
Source: RefSeq, a predicted model, not a curated record